Molecule: long non-coding RNA, 259 nt
Filed under: Sorghum bicolor (sorghum)
Lineage: Eukaryota; Viridiplantae; Streptophyta; Magnoliopsida; Poales; Poaceae
Description: long non-coding RNA (SBIC_LNC006072)
Source: RNAcentral
UCAACAUUUUGCAUUCUAUUAUUGUAUCUUAUUCCUAUUAUUCAUAAUCAGUUUUCUCUUAUUAGUAUUACAUUAUUCUCAAUAGCUAGCAUGCAUUUCUGCACGCCUCCUUUGUUCUAUAACACCGUUUACUCCUACCACAGCACCAACAGAGAUUUUCUCUACACGUUAGGGGUCCAGCAUGGUAGCAAUGUUGUCCGAUAAGUUUCUCUUCACCUUGUUCAUCCAUGUCUCGGCCUGUGUUUGUCAAAGAUUCAGA